ACGGUGAGUGGAUGAAAGCUCCGGCGGCAUAGGAUGGGCCUGCGGCGUAUCAGGUUGUAGGGGGUGUAACGUACCCUCUAGCCCUCUACGCGUACGGGUGUUGGGAGACAUAGCCCGGAGAUGGAUUCUGAGACACGAAUCCAGACCCUACGGGGUGCAGCAGGCGCGAAAACUUGGCAAUGCGAGAAAUCGUGACCAGGGAACUCCAAGUGCAUCGGGUAAGACCGGUGCUUUUCUUGACUCUAAAUAGGUCUUGGAAUAAGGGGUGGGUAAGGACGGUGCCAGCCGCCGCGGUAAUACCGGCGCCUCAAGUGGUAGUCGCUUUUAUUGGGCCUAAAACGUCCGUAGCCGGUCUGAUACAUUCGUGGGUAAAUCAACCAGCUUAACUGGUUGAAUUCUGCGAGGACGGUCAGACUUGGGACCGGGAGAGGUGUGGGGUACGCUCAGGGUAGGGGUAAAAUCCUGUCAUCCUGAGCGGACCACCUGUUGCGAAGGCGCCACACUAGAACGGAUCCGACGGUCAGGGACGAAGCCUAGGGGCACGAACCGGAUUAGAUACCCGGGUAGUCCUAGGUGUAAACGCUGUGGACUUGAUGUUGGGGGUGCUCCGAGCACUCUCAGUGUCGAAGCGAAGGUGAUAAGUCCACUGCCUGGGAAGUACGGUCGCAAGGCUGAAACUUAAAGGAAUUGGCGGGGGAGCACCGCAACCUGAGGAUUGUGCGGUUUAAUUGGACUCAACGCCGGGA
Molecule: ribosomal RNA, 746 nt
Filed under: uncultured Candidatus Poseidoniales archaeon
Lineage: Archaea; Methanobacteriati; Thermoplasmatota; Candidatus Poseidoniia; Candidatus Poseidoniales
Description: bacterial SSU rRNA
Rfam family: Archaeal small subunit ribosomal RNA
Source: RNAcentral